Long non-coding RNA from Lathyrus oleraceus (garden pea), 1980 nucleotides. RefSeq lists it as uncharacterized. NCBI's taxonomy places the organism in Eukaryota, Viridiplantae, Streptophyta, Magnoliopsida, Fabales, Fabaceae. The record is from RefSeq and is a predicted model, not a curated record. The transcript has 6 exons.
UGAACCGUAACCGGAAAAACCCAAGCCAAAGCAGCAGGAACACGCGAGACCCUUCCUUUCACGGCGCAAAUCUUCGAUCCCCCGCGAGCUCCUCUUCCUCCACUGAUUUCCACCGGUCCAACGGCGAACAAGGAGCAACGUGAGCUCAGAUCGGGAGUUCCAAACUGAGUUCGUCAAUGGCGACUGGUUUCGAUGCAUCGACAGACAAAGAUGAACGAUGAAGGUGGAUCAAGUUUACGGAAUUCUUCACCUCUUCAUCCUAACGUUGAGAUUCGUACAGGAAGUUCGCUCAAGAAUUAGAAUUCCAUAACUCCAAUCGAUCUCGUGUAACCAACAUGUAAGCGUUGCGACCCGUGUGGAAUUCGAACUUGGAAUUCUAAACAAAGAACCACUUAUCUGGAUCGGAUCCGCGUGUAGAUCAUAGCGCCCGAACCAAAUUUCUGGCGCAAAGCGUUCUUCAUGUCCCUCUCGACCCAAUGGUUUGGAGUUCGGUUUCGACCUGUCUCGCAACAAACGGCAAACUGUCGAAGCGUGCCUUCUGUUGGUGAUGACGAAAGUAACAUGAAGAUGGUUGAUUGUUCUUCAAUGAAUGGAAAUUAUCAAAUUCGCGCAACCGACCAAAAAUUUGUGUUCAUCCUGAUGAUGGUGAGCAACCGUGAUGAACACGUGUUCUGUGGGGUAUUGAAGGAGGUUGCAGGCUCUUGAGGAACCUUGCUGCCGUUUGCACAGAGUAGUUCUUGAAGUCUCGUCCAAUUUGUUGCAAGGUAAACCGAAAACUGCAGAAUUGAUGUUUUACGGUUAAACCCAAAGCAAAGAGUGAUUCCCAGGUUCUAUGCCGGAAGCAAGUUGUGGUGAAUUAAACUCCGAGAGGAUGGUUGAAGCUUGAAGAAAAUGGAGGCUGGAGCUUGAAGGUUUUGUUUGAAGAAUGAAGAUUGAUGAUUUUGAAGAGAAAGAUGGAGGGUGAAGAAGAAGAUUGAAGAAUGAAGGUUGAAGAAUUUGAAGAAGUGAUUGAAGGUCCUUGAAUUGAGGAAGCAGACAGUUUUAUUGAUGUUGUCCAUGAACCGUACCCGGAUAUAGUUAGUAGUGCUUAUGCAGGGUGGUGCAAUAAUCUUGCUACUGGAAAAUGCUGGCAGGAUGCAUAUCGGCACCGUCCAUUGCGGGGUAGAUUAUGUAGGACUCUCACCGGUACGGUAUCGAAGGAUAUGGAAUUGAUUCACUAGCUAAAAGUCCAGACUAUGCAUCCAGUGGAGAGAGGCUAAGGAAGUUGAGCAAAUUCAAGGCCAAACAACGACCUAUAGAAAAUGCCGGUGUGGUACUUGAAACACCGCCUUUGGUGGCAGUCCAAAAUCUUGCUAUAUUAUACAUGCUAAGAAGCUGGAGGAAUCGUCUGCAGAUGCAGGCAACAUUUUGCCUUUGUCCACCAAAAUUCCUGACAAAUCGGCUCUAGAAGGCAGUGAGGCUCGGUAUCAUCGGUAGAGGAUGGUUGCGUGUCUGAAUUUCAGCAUUCAUGUCAUGCGCGCCAAGUCGGGAUUCACUCAUUGAAAGCAGGGCAGGUAUCAAAAUUGGCCAUGUUUCUUCCACUGCAUCAAUACAUGCCUCUUCUGAAUUAGGAAGCAUAAAUGAACUUGGGUUGAACUUUGAAUCCAUCCUCCUUUGGAAUUUUGUGUAAUCCUUCCUGCAAGUGGAAAAGAUGGAUUAAAAGGAAACGUGCCACUCCACCUUUACCGUCCAACGUACGAUUUGUACAAACAUGUCAUUAUGUUUUGGUGUUAUAUGGAAAUGAUUAUGGGAUUGGAUUGUAAUUGGAGAUGUUAAUUAUAUGUACGUAUUUAUUUUGUAGAAUAAUGUUUGUGGGUUUAUGAAUCGGAUGUUUGGGUGAAUGCCACGGUUGAAAUGUUUCGGUUAAUAUGUUUGGCGAUGUAGUUUGGAGAAUUUCGAAUGGAUUUGAAUGGAUAUUGGUUUACCAACAUGGUUUAUGGA